ACCAGCUUUGUCCAGGAAUGAGCUGCAAUAGGGAGAACUUGGUGCGAUGCUGUGGAACAUAGUUUUACUACUGCAGGGAGUCUGAGGAACUUACCACAAGGAAGGCUGCAAGCAAGAUCUGAAAUGUUUUUGUUUGGAACCUAAGCGAUGCUUGAGGGCAGAAAAUGCACUUCUGAUACUCCAGUCUGCUCAGCCAUCUCCGAUAAAGAAAACCGCCAUCACCACUGCAUCACCAGCCUGUUCCCUGCCGCAGAGCUCCUCUGUCAAAAAAUCAAAUGCUGUUUUAGUCUGAGACCUUGCAUCUCUUUCUUGUCAUAGACCACAGACACUUUACUGAAGAUGCAAGUUAACAGUC
Molecule: long non-coding RNA, 355 nt
Organism: Numida meleagris (helmeted guineafowl)
Lineage: Eukaryota; Metazoa; Chordata; Aves; Galliformes; Numididae
Exons: 3
Source: RefSeq, a predicted model, not a curated record